CGAGGUGUAGCGCAGUUGGUAGCGCGCCUGCUUUGGGAGCAGGAUGCCGGGGGUUCGAGUCCCUUCACCUCGACCA
RNAcentral lists this transfer RNA (76 nucleotides) under Clostridiaceae bacterium. Its description in RNAcentral is "tRNA-Pro". It matches the Rfam family "tRNA". From Rfam's summary of the family: Transfer RNA (tRNA) molecules are approximately 80 nucleotides in length. Their secondary structure includes four short double-helical elements and three loops (D, anti-codon, and T loops). Lineage: Bacteria; Bacillati; Bacillota; Clostridia; Eubacteriales; Clostridiaceae. The record is from RNAcentral.